RNAcentral lists this ribosomal RNA (420 nucleotides) under bacterium. RNAcentral describes it as "partial 16S ribosomal RNA". It matches the Rfam family "Bacterial small subunit ribosomal RNA", at positions 355 to 776 of the family's 1533-position model. The record is from RNAcentral.
UGGGGGAUAUUGCACAAUGGGCGAAAGCCUGAUGCAGCGACGCCGCGUGGGGGAUGAAGGCUUUCGGGUUGUAAACCUCUUUCGCUAUCGAACAAGGCCCGCUUAGGGUGGGUUGAGGGUAGGUGGAGAAGAAGCGCCGGCUAACUACGUGCCAGCAGCCGCGGUAAUACGUAGGGCGCGAGCGGUGUCCGGAAUUAUUGGGCGUAAAGGGCUUGUAGGCGGCUUGUUGCGCCUGCUGUGAAAACGCGGGGCUUAACUUCGCGCGUGCAGUGGGUACGGGCAGGCUUGAGUGUGGUAGGGGUGACUGGAAUUCCAGGUGUAGCGGUGGAAUGCGCAGAUAUCUGGAGGAACACCGAUGGCGAAGGCAGGUCACUGGGCCAUUACUGACGCUGAGGAGCGAAAGCAUGGGUAGCGAACAGG